CGAGUCAUUGGUGGGAGUAGCGGGUAGCUUGGAGGAUUUACAUAGCAACAUGCACUCUUCUGAGCACACCAGAAAUCCGACCGUUCUUUCUCUUCUGAGAACACCAGAGAAGAAGUCACUGCUCUUGAAAUUGGUGCGCCCUCAUUUCUGCUGACACAUCGGGAGGAACAUUUGGUGGAGUCCCAAGAUGAUCAGGGUAUGGUGAAAUAGGAUAGGAAAGAAAAAAGAAUUCGCAGGCCACCUUAUCUCGUUCAGAACCAGAGACCCCACCUAAACUUCUCAUGGGAAAUAACAAUACAACAGAGAAUAAUGUAAAAGAAAACGAUAAACCCCAGAUGGUAGUGGAGAGACUGGAAGAUGUUCUCUUGGAAGAGGAAGAUGAUUUAGAGGUUUUAGAUUACUCCAUGGAGGAAUCUGAGGAUUUUGAAGAUGAUAUUGAAAUGAGUGAAGAAGUAGAAGAUUCUUCAACUCUUGGCAAAUUUCAGAAGGGAAUUAGGAAGGAGUCGGAAGCAUGUUACAAUUAAUUACUCAUAAGAAAGGACGCCAUGGGGAAAGUGAUGAUGGGGACUCUAUGCGGAUCUCUCGACCUCAACACUCCUCUGGAUAAUCCCUGUUUUUGUUCUUCUCUUCUUCAGAUUUUCUGUGUUUUAUUAUGAUUACUUUUAUUUUUCUCGUAUUGAUGAUGACUUUAAACCGAAGCAUUCUUGGAUGGAAUUGUAGGGGCUCUACAAGUAAAGAUAAGCUUAACAGGCCUAGCGGUUUGAUGAAAGAGUCCAGACUAGAUAUCAUUGCCCAAGUGGAGACUCGAUAGGACAAAGCUACGGUUUCCCGUCUUUGCGAUAAGUUUUCCAAAUAUUGGAACUGGGUAGAAAUUCCUAUGGAUGGCUAUUCCGGUGGAAUUAUAAUUCUUUGGACCAAGGAAAUUGGCAGGAUUUCAUAGGUGGCUCACUCCCGUUGUGCCAUUCACUUAAUCAUCUCAUUUCCUUCUAAACACCAGUAGAUCUUUUCAGUGGUUUAUAAUCCACAUCAUAUCCAGCUGCAACAAAAACUUUGGAAAAAAUUGACUCAGGUUACAAAGCUCAACAAUCCUUGGAUCUUGUUGGGAGACUUCAAUGCUAUUACUUCCCCUAUUGAGCACAAGGGAAGUAGCUUUAAUUAUUAUGCAAUAAAGGCUCUUUCCUUUUCUAACUUUA
This is a long non-coding RNA of Dioscorea cayenensis subsp. rotundata (Guinea yam), 1193 nucleotides long. RefSeq lists it as uncharacterized. The record is from RefSeq and is a predicted model, not a curated record. The transcript is spliced from 2 exons. Lineage: Eukaryota; Viridiplantae; Streptophyta; Magnoliopsida; Dioscoreales; Dioscoreaceae.